AUGCCUGGGAGGUCGACCAUGGAAGCCAUUUUCUUGGUACGACAACUUAUGGAGAGAUAUAGGGAGCAUAAGAAGGACUUGCAUAUGGUGUUCAUUGACUUGGAGAAGGCCUAUGAUAAGAUACCGCGGAAUGUCAUGUGGUGGGCCUUGGAGAAACACAAAGUCCCAACAAAGUACAUUACCCUCAUCAAGGACAUGUACAAUAAUGUUGUGACAAGUGUUCGAACAAGUGAUGUCGACACCGAUGACUUCCCGAUUAAGAUAGGACUGCAUCAGGGGUCAGCUUUGAGCCCUUAUCUUUUUGCAUUGGUGAUGGAUGAGGUCACAAGAGGUAUACAAGGAGAUAUCCCAUGGUGUAUGCUCUUUGCGGAUGAUGUGGUGCUAGUUGACGAUAGUCAAACGGGGGUAAAUAGGAAGUUAGAGUUAUGGAGACAAACCUUGGAAUCGAAAGGGUUUAGGCUUAGUAGAACUAAAACCGAGUACAUGAUGUGCGGUUUCAGUACUACUAGCUGUGAGGAGGAGGAGGUUAGCCUUGAUAGCCAGGUGGUACCUCGGAAGGACACCUUUCGGUAUUUGGGGUCAAUGUUGCAGGAGGAUGGGGGUAUUGAUGAAGAUGUGAACCAUCGAAUCAAAGCCGGAUGGAUGAAGUGGCGCCAAGCUUCUGGCAUUCUCUGUGACAAGAGAGUGCCACAAAAGCUAAAAGGCAAGUUCUACAGGACGGCGGUUCGACCCGCAAUGUUGUAUGGCGCGGAGUGUUGGCCGACUAAAAGGCGACAUGUUCAACAGUUAGGUGUGGCGGAGAUGCGUAUGUUGAGAUGA
This 819-nucleotide ribosomal RNA is filed under the name Triticum aestivum (bread wheat). RNAcentral's name for it is "partial small subunit ribosomal RNA". Lineage: Eukaryota; Viridiplantae; Streptophyta; Magnoliopsida; Poales; Poaceae. The record is from RNAcentral.